Molecule: ribosomal RNA, 500 nt
Filed under: uncultured bacterium
Lineage: Bacteria
Description: partial 16S ribosomal RNA
Rfam family: Bacterial small subunit ribosomal RNA
Source: RNAcentral
AUUGAACGCUGGCGGAAUGCUUUACACAUGCAAGUCGAACGGCAGCACGGACUUCGGUCUGGUGGCGAGUGGCGAACGGGUGAGUAAUGUAUCGGAACGUGCCCAGUCGUGGGGGAUAACGUAGUGAAAAUUACGCUAAUACCGCAUACGAUCUAUGGAUGAAAGCGGGGGAUCGCAAGACCUCGCGCGAUUGGAGCGGCCGAUAUCAGAUUGGGUAGUUGGUGGGGUAAAGGCCCCCCAAGCCAACGAUCUGUAGCGGGUCUGAGAGGACGACCAGCCACACUGGAACUGAGUCACGGUCCAGACUCCUACAGGAGGCAGCAGUGGGGAAUUUUGGACAAUGGGCGAAAGCCUGAUCCAGCCAUUCCGCGUGCGGGAUGAAGGCCCUCGGGUUGUAAACUGCUUUUGUACAGAACGAAAAGGUUUCUACUAAUACUAGGAGCUCAUGACGGUACUGUAAGAAUAAGCACCGGCUAACUACGUGCCAGCCGCCGCCGUAA